UUGAACGCUUGCGGCAGGCCUAACACAUGCAGGUCGAGCGGAUGAAGGGAGCUUGCUCCUGGAUUCAGCGGCGGACGGGUGAGUAAUGCCUAGGAAUCUGCCUGGUAGUGGGGGAUAACGUCCGGAAACGGGCGCUAAUACCGCAUACGUCCUGAGGGAGAAAGUGGGGGAUCUUCGGACCUCACGCUAUCAGAUGAGCCUAGGUCGGAUUAGCUAGUUGGUGGGGUAAAGGCCUACCAAGGCGACGAUCCGUAACUGGUCUGAGAGGAUGAUCAGUCACACUGGAACUGAGACACGGUCCAGACUCCUACGGGAGGCAGCAGUGGGGAAUAUUGGACAAUGGGCGAAAGCCUGAUCCAGCCAUGCCGCGUGUGUGAAGAAGGUCUUCGGAUUGUAAAGCACUUUAAGUUGGGAGGAAGGGCAGUAAGUUAAUACCUUGCUGUUUUGACGUUACCAACAGAAUAAGCACCGGCUAACUUCGUG
RNAcentral lists this ribosomal RNA (483 nucleotides) under uncultured bacterium. RNAcentral's name for it is "partial 16S ribosomal RNA". It matches the Rfam family "Bacterial small subunit ribosomal RNA", at positions 30 to 507 of the family's 1533-position model. The record is from RNAcentral.